AUGCUCGCGCUCACCUCCGCGGGAUACUGCGCGUAUCGCUGGCUGAAGAGGAGCAGCGAUCUUCAAGCUGCUGAACUUCAAGCUGCUCACGGAUCUGUUGUUGAUGAUGUGGAGGAAGCCGAGACCACCGAGGUCACUGAGAUAAAUAUCCAGCUCCGGAGCACCAGCCUUGACCCUCAGAAGUCGGCUGUCAUUCUGGUUGAAGGGGCUGCUGGAUAUAGCUAUUCUUGCAGUCAGACACUGAUCCAGUCUGAUCCAGUGAUCAUCAAACCUGAUCAGUCUCAUAAACUGACCUGCACAGCCUCUGGAUUAGACAUUGGAGGCUACUGGAUGGACUGGAUCAGACAGGCGCCUGGAAAAGGACUGGAAUGGGUUGCAACUAUAACAUCUGACAGUAGUAGCAAAUAUUACUCCAGCACUGUUAAGGGCCGCUUCACCAUCUCCAGAGACAACAAUUCUUAUGGACAGUCCUCAGCUUCUGUGGUGAAGAGACCUGGAGAGUCCAUCACUCUGUCCUGUACUGUCUCUGGAUUCUCAGUGGGAAGCAUAUUCACUCAGUCAUUGCAGGGCCAGUUCUCCAUCACUAAAGACACCAAUAAAAACAUGCUGUACCCUUGAAUAG
This is a non-coding RNA of Hemibagrus wyckioides, 622 nucleotides long. The record is from the annotation of a RefSeq genome assembly. NCBI's taxonomy places the organism in Eukaryota, Metazoa, Chordata, Actinopteri, Siluriformes, Bagridae.